Molecule: transfer RNA, 40 nt
Filed under: Euproctus montanus
Lineage: Eukaryota; Metazoa; Chordata; Amphibia; Caudata; Salamandridae
Description: partial tRNA-Gln
Source: RNAcentral
UUUUGAUCUCCUAAGGGUAGGUUCGAGUCCUAUUUUUUUA